GAUCAUGGCUCAGGAUGAACGCUAGCGGCAGGCUAACACAUGCAAGUCGAGGGGCAGCGGGUGUAGCAAUACAUGCCGGCGACCGGCGAAAGGGUGAGUAACGCGUGAGCAACGUGCCCGUAUGUGGGGGAUAGUCGAUGGAAACGUCGCGUAAUACCCCGUAACACACGGUCUCGCAUGGGGCUGUGUUGAAAGAUUUGAUUGCAUACGGAUCGGCUCGCGUGCCAUUAGGUAGACGGCGGGGUAACGGCCCACCGUGCCGACGAUGGCUAGGGGUUCUGAGAGGAAGGUCCCCCACAUUGGAACUGAGACACGGUCCAGACUCCUACGGGAGGCAGCAGUGAGGAAUAUUGGACAAUGGCCGGAAGGCUGAUCCAGCCAUGCCGCGUGCGGGAAAAGGGCGGCCCUAUGGGUUGUAAACCGCUUUUGCGGGGGAGCAAUAAGGUGCACGUGUGCACCGAUGAGAGUACCCUGCGAAUAAGCAUCGGCUAACUCCGUGCCAGCCGCUGC
Molecule: ribosomal RNA, 510 nt
Filed under: uncultured bacterium
Lineage: Bacteria
Description: bacterial SSU rRNA
Rfam family: Bacterial small subunit ribosomal RNA
Source: RNAcentral